AACGAACGCUCGCGGCAGGCUUAACACAUGCAAGUCGAACGCCCCGCAAGGGGAGUGGCAGAAGGGUGAGUAACGCGUGGGAACAUACCCUUUUCUACGGUAUAGCUCUGGGCAACUGGAAUUAAUACCGUAUACGCCCUACGGAGGAAAGAUUUAUCGGGGAAGGAUUCGCCCGCGUUGGAUUAGCUAGUUGGUGGGGUAAAGGCCUACCAAGGCGACGAUCCAGAGCUGGUCUGAGAGGAUGAUCAGCCACAUUGGGACUGAGACACGGCCCAAACUCCUACGGGAGGCAGCAGUGGGGAAUAUUGGACAAUGUGCGCGAGCCUGAUCCAGCCAUGCCGCGUGAGUGAUGAAGGCCUUAGGGUUGUAGAGCUCUUUCACCGAUGAAGAUAAUGACGGUAGUCGGAGAAGAAGCCCCGGCUGACUUCGUG
Molecule: ribosomal RNA, 431 nt
Filed under: uncultured bacterium
Lineage: Bacteria
Description: partial 16S ribosomal RNA
Rfam family: Bacterial small subunit ribosomal RNA
Source: RNAcentral